Molecule: long non-coding RNA, 222 nt
Filed under: Elaeis guineensis (African oil palm)
Lineage: Eukaryota; Viridiplantae; Streptophyta; Magnoliopsida; Arecales; Arecaceae
Description: long non-coding RNA (EGUI_LNC000863)
Source: RNAcentral
CAUAUGCAUGAAGGGCAUAAGGAAUUUGGACCCGAGGAUUUUCUAAUGUGGAGUAAGAAGAGAACCGCCCCAUCUGACCCAUUUCCUAGCGUUUCCGCUAUCCUCACCUACGUGCAGAUCCAAAUAAGUCCAAUCAAGACCAAUCUAGUUUUUUUUUCUCUUUUUGGUGCAAGGUAGACCAGAUGCCAAAGCAGUAACUUACAAAACAUCUACAACACGGCC